UACGUAGGGUGCGAGCGUUAAUCGGAAUUACUGGGCGUAAAGCGUGCGCAGGCGGUUCGUUAUGUCCGAUGUGAAAGCCCCGAGCUCAACUUGGGAAUGGCAUUGGAAACUGGCGGGCUGGAGUGUGGCAGAGGGGGGUGGAAUUCCGCGUGUAGCAGUGAAAUGCGUAGAGAUGCGGAGGAACACCGAUGGCGAAGGCAGCCCCCUGGGCUAACACUGACGCUCAGGCACGAAAGCGUGGGGAGCAAACAGG
RNAcentral lists this ribosomal RNA (253 nucleotides) under uncultured bacterium. RNAcentral's name for it is "partial 16S ribosomal RNA". It matches the Rfam family "Bacterial small subunit ribosomal RNA", at positions 524 to 776 of the family's 1533-position model. The record is from RNAcentral.